Molecule: ribosomal RNA, 451 nt
Filed under: uncultured bacterium
Lineage: Bacteria
Description: partial 16S ribosomal RNA
Rfam family: Bacterial small subunit ribosomal RNA
Source: RNAcentral
AGCGAACGCUGGCGGCAGGCCUAACACAUGCAAGUCGAGCGGCCGUAGCAAUACGGCAGCGGCAGACGGGGGAGUAACACGUGGGAACGCGCCCUUCGGUUCGGGAUAACCCAGGGAAACUUGGGCUAAUACCGGAUACGCCCUUACGGGGAAAGAUUUAUUGCCGAAGGAACGGCCCGCGUCCGCUUAGCUAGUUGGUGAGGUAACGGCUCACCAAGGCGACGAUCGGUAGCUGGUCUGAGAGGAUGACCAGCCUCACUGGGACUGAGACACGGCCCAGACUCCUACGGGAGGCAGCAGUGGGGAAUAUUGGACAAUGGGCGCAAGCCUGAUCCAGCCAUGCCGCGUGGGUGAUGAAGGCCCUAGGGUUGUAAAGCCCUUUCAGCGGGGAAGAUAAUGACGGUACCCGCAGAAGAAGCCCCGGCUAACUUCGUGCCAGCCGCCGCAGUAA